Ochotona princeps (American pika) is the source of this 124-nucleotide small nucleolar RNA. Its record names the gene SNORA74. It matches the Rfam family "Small nucleolar RNA SNORA74". From Rfam's summary of the family: U19 belongs to the H/ACA class of snoRNAs. snoRNAs bind a number of proteins (including dyskerin, Gar1p and Nop10p in the case of the H/ACA class) to form snoRNP complexes. Lineage: Eukaryota; Metazoa; Chordata; Mammalia; Lagomorpha; Ochotonidae. The record is from Ensembl.
CCUGGCUGUAGGCAGCUACUUAGGUUGUCUUGUACCUAGGCAAGUGUUACACUGCUGGGAGAAAAACAGCCCAAUAGUUGGUGGGCAUUCUGGGCCUGGUUAAUGCCAAAUUUGUGUUAACUAU